GAUUCGGUAGUUAAGUGGUAGAGCAGUUACAUAGUUUUCAGAAUGGUCGCAGGUUCGAAUCCUGCCGGAGGCU
Meloidogyne enterolobii is the source of this 73-nucleotide non-coding RNA. The record is from the annotation of a GenBank genome assembly. NCBI's taxonomy places the organism in Eukaryota, Metazoa, Nematoda, Chromadorea, Rhabditida, Meloidogynidae.